CGCACGUUUCAAUAGGAUGUGUGAUAUUGUAUCUCCUAGGUGCUUCAUCAGAAGAGUUUUCACCCUCAUGACGCGCCCGCGUCGGGUUGCCUGGAGAGCUCUUCCUUCAAUCCUGGAGCGGAUUGACCGACAUAACGCGCCAAUGACAACAGGGCGCGUGGUAAUAUGCAAUUCCACAAGUCAUCAUCAGAAGGGUUUCCACUCUCAUGAUUUGCCCGCUUCAACAAAGCGCGCGAUAACUUUCAAAUCUUAACUUCUUCGUUAGAAGGGUUCUUGCCUUCUUGACGUGCCCACAUCAAGUUCAAGGGAAAGGUAUGUAUUUUUUAAAUAUAUAUAUAUUAAACUUUUUUCGUUUCACCUUAAAAUUUAAUUCUUAAAUUUCAAAUUUUAAAAUUUGAAUUCAAAUUUUUUUUUAAAAAAAAAAUUGAAACUUUUUUUCUUCUUUCUUUCUUCCUUUCUUUUUCUCUCUCUCUUUUCUUCCUUUCCUUCUCCCCUGUUUUCCCCUCCUUCUCUUUCGGCCGAAACCCAAUGCACGCCAACGCGCGUUGCCCAUCUCUUGCGUGCCACAACACUACCGCAGCACAUUACACCGUCACCGUCGCCGACUUGCGUCGCUGCUACUCACUGACGUGCGCCGCCACCCUC
RNAcentral lists this long non-coding RNA (645 nucleotides) under Coffea arabica (coffee). RNAcentral's name for it is "long non-coding RNA (CARA_LNC001984)". The record is from RNAcentral. Lineage: Eukaryota; Viridiplantae; Streptophyta; Magnoliopsida; Gentianales; Rubiaceae.